RNAcentral lists this ribosomal RNA (253 nucleotides) under uncultured bacterium. RNAcentral's name for it is "partial 16S ribosomal RNA". It matches the Rfam family "Bacterial small subunit ribosomal RNA", at positions 524 to 776 of the family's 1533-position model. The record is from RNAcentral.
UACGGGGGGGGCAAGCGUUGUUCGGAAUUACUGGGCGUAAAGGGCGCGUAGGCGGGCAUCCAAGUCCGUGGUGAAAUCCUCCAGCUCAACUGGAGAACUGCCUCGGAUACUGGGUGUCUCGAGUGGGGUAGGGGUGUGUGGAACGUUCGGUGGAGCGGUGAAAUGCGUUGAUAUCGAACGGAACUCCGGUGGCGAAGGCGACACACUGGACCUCAACUGACGCUGAGGCGCGAAAGCCAGGGGAGCAAACGGG